Molecule: ribosomal RNA, 301 nt
Filed under: uncultured bacterium
Lineage: Bacteria
Description: partial 16S ribosomal RNA
Rfam family: Bacterial small subunit ribosomal RNA
Source: RNAcentral
CAGCAGCCGCGGUAAUACGGAGGGAGCUAGCGUUGUUCGGAAUCACUGGGCGUAAAGCGCACGUAGGCGGCUAUUCAAGUCAGGGGUGAAAGCCCGGGGCUCAACCCCGGAACUGCCUUUGAAACUAGAUAGCUUGAAUCUUGGAGAGGCGAGUGGAAUUCCGAGUGUAGAGGUGAAAUUCGUAGAUAUUCGGAAGAACACCAGUGGCGAAGGCGACUCGCUGGACAAGUAUUGACGCUGAGGCACGAAAGCGUGGGGAGCAAACAGGAUUAGAUACCCCCGUAGUCCCUGUCUCUUAUAC